RNAcentral lists this long non-coding RNA (335 nucleotides) under Bos indicus x Bos taurus (hybrid cattle). RNAcentral describes it as "lncRNA (ENSBIXG00005000566.1)". The record is from RNAcentral. Lineage: Eukaryota; Metazoa; Chordata; Mammalia; Artiodactyla; Bovidae.
AUCAGCCCUUCGUCUGAGGCUUUUUAUUUUCCUAGCUCUCCUUGAGCGGAGGGGGGAAAAAAAUUAUUUCUUGCCCUGGAUGAGAAAGCUCACUGUUUUAUCCAGUCUCCUGCACUCUGAGUGUUAAACAUCUAGCCCACCGAUGACCUCCCACAAUUUCAGAAACUCUCCCGCAGGAAACACAGAGGACAGGAGGGACCAGCAAGGAGGAGAUCCGAAGCCUGAUCCUGCUGGGGCCUGGCCUCUCGGAACUCUGCGGCCAGCCGGCUGUCCUCUGUAAAGUGGAGAAGAUGACAAGACCCGCUCUAUUCCCGAUCUGGGGAGAUGUGAAGAUC